GAUGAACGCUGGCGGCGUGCCUAAUACAUGCAAGUCGAGCGAACAGAUAAGGAGCUUGCUCCUUUGACGUUAGCGGCGGACGGGUGAGUAACACGUGGGUAACCUACCUAUAAGACUGGAAUAACUCCGGGAAACCGGGGCUAAUGCCGGAUAACAUUUAGAACCGCAUGGUUCUAAAGUGAAAGAUGGUUUUACUAUCACUUAUAGAUGGACCCGCGCCGUAUUAGCUAGUUGGUAAGGUAACGGCUUACCAAGGCAACGAUACGUAGCCGACCUGAGAGGGUGAUCGGCCACACUGGAACUGAGACACGGUCCAGACUCCUACGGGAGGCAGCAGUAGGGAAUCUUCCGCAAUGGGCGAAAGCCUGACGGAGCAACGCCGCGUGAGUGAUGAAGGUCUUCGGAUCGCAAAACUCUGUUAUUAGGGAAGAACAAAUGUGUAAGUAACUGUGCACGUCUUGACGGUACCUAAUCAGAAAGCCACGGCUAACUACGUG
Molecule: ribosomal RNA, 497 nt
Filed under: uncultured bacterium
Lineage: Bacteria
Description: partial 16S ribosomal RNA
Rfam family: Bacterial small subunit ribosomal RNA
Source: RNAcentral